Molecule: ribosomal RNA, 393 nt
Filed under: Triticum aestivum (bread wheat)
Lineage: Eukaryota; Viridiplantae; Streptophyta; Magnoliopsida; Poales; Poaceae
Description: partial small subunit ribosomal RNA
Source: RNAcentral
CAGGAGAUAACUUCCAGACUUGCACCCGGACAAACACCGCAAGACUGUCCUAACCUGGUGGCCAGAGUAUGCAGGGCCAAGAUGCGGAGUCUGAAAGAUCUUAUGGUAAAAAAGAAGUACUUUGGUCCGGUUGCGGCGUAUGCUCAUGUUACCGAGUUCCAAAAAAGGGGUCUACCGCAUGAGCACUUCCUGCUGAUCAUGGCCUCAGAUAGUAAGCUGACAAAUCCAGACGCCUAUGAUAGGGUAAUCUCGAUAGAGAUCCCUAGCCAUGACAAGUACCCUGUGUUGCAUGGACUGCUUAUCAAGCAUAUACUCCACGGCCCAUGUGGUACUCUCCAGAAGAAUUGUCCUUGCAUGAUAGAUGGAAAUUUUCGUUUUCGUUACCCUCGAUAG